This is a long non-coding RNA of Oxyura jamaicensis (ruddy duck), 264 nucleotides long. RefSeq lists it as uncharacterized. The record is from RefSeq and is a predicted model, not a curated record. The transcript has 2 exons. Lineage: Eukaryota; Metazoa; Chordata; Aves; Anseriformes; Anatidae.
GCCCUGGCACCCUGCGCUGCUCGGGGCUCUGCGGGAGGCUUACGAAGAGCUGAACGCAGGCUCGGCGAGCUAGUUUUAGGGCUUCUCUUCAGCCUGAGCUGGGGAAAGGAGACAGGGGCGUUAGGAAGCACAGUUAUUUUCACCUUUAGAACCUACAUUUCCUACUUGAGAAAAAUAUUCCUGGUGAAAAUUCCAGAAGAUUGAAGAAUUAAAUCUCGACCAAUGAAAGUCUAGAACUUUGUGUGGAUCCCAAGAAGACACGGG